GAUGAACGCUGGCGGCGUGCUUAACACAUGCAAGUCGAACGAAGCACUUAAGUUUGAAUCUUCGGAUGAAGACUUUUGUGACUGAGUGGCGGACGGGUGAGUAACGCGUGGGUAACCUGCCUCAUACAGGGGGAUAACAGUUAGAAAUGACUGCUAAUACCGCAUAAGACCACAGCACCGCAUGGUGCAGGGGUAAAAACUCCGGUGGUAUGAGAUGGACCCGCGUCUGAUUAGCUAGUUGGUGGGGUAACGGCCUACCAAGGCGACGAUCAGUAGCCGACCUGAGAGGGUGACCGGCCACAUUGGGACUGAGACACGGCCCAA
Molecule: ribosomal RNA, 324 nt
Filed under: uncultured bacterium
Lineage: Bacteria
Description: bacterial SSU rRNA
Rfam family: Bacterial small subunit ribosomal RNA
Source: RNAcentral